Molecule: ribosomal RNA, 589 nt
Filed under: uncultured bacterium
Lineage: Bacteria
Description: partial 16S ribosomal RNA
Rfam family: Bacterial small subunit ribosomal RNA
Source: RNAcentral
UGGGGAAUCUUCCGCAAUGGACGAAAGUCUGACGGAGCAACGCCGCGUGUAUGAUGAAGGUCUUCGGAUUGUAAAGUACUGUCAUUGGGGAAGAACGGUUUUCUUGAGAAUAUUGAGAAGACAUGACGGUACCCAAGGAGGAAGCCCCGGCUAACUACGUGCCAGCAGCCGCGGUAAUACGUAGGGGGCAAGCGUUGUCCGGAAUUAUUGGGCGUAAAGGGCGCGUAGGCGGGCCUUUAAGUCCGGUGUGAAAGAUCAGGGCUCAACCCUGAGAGUGCAUCGGAAACUGGAGGCCUUGAGGACAGGAGAGGAAAGUGGAAUUCCACGUGUAGCGGUGAAAUGCGUAGAUAUGUGGAGGAACACCAGUGGCGAAGGCGACUUUCUGGACUGUAACUGACGCUGAGGCGCGAAAGCGUGGGGAGCAAACAGGAUUAGAUACCCUGGUAGUCCACGCCGUAAACGAUGAGUGCUAGGUGUAGAGGGUAUCGACCCCUUCUGUGCCGCAGUUAACACAAUAAGCACUCCCGCCUGGGGAGUACGGCCGCAAGGUUGAAACUUAAAGGAAUUGACGGGGUCAUAGCUGUUUCCU